Sceloporus undulatus (fence lizard) is the source of this 337-nucleotide long non-coding RNA. RefSeq lists it as uncharacterized. Lineage: Eukaryota; Metazoa; Chordata; Lepidosauria; Squamata; Phrynosomatidae. The transcript has 3 exons. The record is from RefSeq and is a predicted model, not a curated record.
AGAGAGCAAGCAAGGCUGCCCUACCCUCGGAUCCCUGCCACCUGCCUGGCUGCACUUUCUUAUUUACAUAGGUCAAGACGCCAUGAAGGAGGCCAAGUCCUAGUACAGAGACAGGCGGAAGAUGGAAAAUCCUGAAGGCAAACAGACACAGGUUGGACUCUCUCUGCACACACAGGAGACUAACACGGCUACUUCUUUGAAAGCUCCAGAUUGCGGUUCUCCUUAUUACACAAACUCCUCUUCCUAAGAUCACACAGGAUGCUGCGGAAAGAUUUCCAGCGCUUCCAAGCCUCAAGUAUGUCUCGGGUUUGGAAUAAGGCACGCAAGAACAAGCCUG